Molecule: long non-coding RNA, 133 nt
Organism: Sarcophilus harrisii (Tasmanian devil)
Lineage: Eukaryota; Metazoa; Chordata; Mammalia; Dasyuromorphia; Dasyuridae
Exons: 4
Source: RefSeq, a predicted model, not a curated record
AAGAGUCUGGGAAAGCUGCUGAAGCCAAACAAGGUACUACAAAAGGAGCCACACAAGCAACAUCUAAAAAAGAAGAAAAGAAAGAAGGCUCUAAGAUAACGAAGACAGCAGAUGCAGAGCGUUCCAAGGAAAA